This is a non-coding RNA of Schistosoma margrebowiei, 45 nucleotides long. Lineage: Eukaryota; Metazoa; Platyhelminthes; Trematoda; Strigeidida; Schistosomatidae. The record is from Rfam.
AUCCAGCUGACGAGUCCCAAAUAGAACGAUACGCACGUUCUGAAC